AUGAUCCCAGUCACAGGGAAUAUAUUGAUCAUGAAGGUGGUUUCCCCAGGGUUUGGUUCUUCCAUUGCAUGCUUUGCUGGGGUUGACCCUUGGUAUUUCCCCAAAGGUGGAAUACUAAACUGUGUAAUUUAUGGUUUUAAGCUGAUAAAAAGAUCCAUUUCUUUUCUUC
Molecule: small nuclear RNA, 169 nt
Organism: Protopterus annectens (West African lungfish)
Lineage: Eukaryota; Metazoa; Chordata; Ceratodontiformes; Protopteridae
Product: U1 spliceosomal RNA
Exons: 1
Source: RefSeq, a predicted model, not a curated record